Molecule: ribosomal RNA, 254 nt
Filed under: uncultured bacterium
Lineage: Bacteria
Description: partial 16S ribosomal RNA
Source: RNAcentral
CUGCUGCCUCCCGUAGGAGUCUGGGCCGUAUCUCAGUCCCAAUGUGGCCGGCCAACCUCUCAGUCCGGCUACUGAUCGUCGCCUUGGUGGGCCGUUACCCCACCAACUAGCUAAUCAGACGCGAGGCCAUCUUUCGGCGAUAAAUUCUUUGACAUUCAGACCAUGCGGCCCAAAUGUAUCAUGCGGUAUUAGCAGUCGUUUCCAACUGUUCGUCCCCCUCCGAAAGGCAGGUUCCUCACGCGUUACUCACCACG